UACGUAGGGGGCUAGCGUUGUCCGGAAUCAUUGGGCGUAAAGCGCGUGUAGGCGGCCCGGUAAGUCCGCUGUGAAAGUCCAGGGCUCAACCCUGGGAUGCCGGUGGAUACUGUCGGGCUCGAGUCCGGAAGGGGCGAGUGGAAUUCCUGGUGUAGCGGUGAAAUGCGCAGAUAUCAGGAGGAACACCAAUGGCGAAGGCAGCUCGCUGGGACGUGACUGACGCUGAGACGCGAAAGCGUGGGGAGCAAACAGG
Molecule: ribosomal RNA, 253 nt
Filed under: uncultured bacterium
Lineage: Bacteria
Description: partial 16S ribosomal RNA
Rfam family: Bacterial small subunit ribosomal RNA
Source: RNAcentral